This 424-nucleotide ribosomal RNA is filed under the name uncultured soil bacterium. RNAcentral's name for it is "bacterial SSU rRNA". It matches the Rfam family "Bacterial small subunit ribosomal RNA", at positions 26 to 450 of the family's 1533-position model. The record is from RNAcentral.
AGGAUGAACGCUGGCGGCGUGCUUAACACAUGCAAGUCGAACGAUGAUCUCCAGCUUGCUGGGGGAUUAGUGGCGAACGGGUGAGUAACACGUGAGUAACCUGCCCUUGACUCUGGGAUAAGCCUGGGAAACUGGGUCUAAUACUGGAUAUGACUGACUAUCGCAUGGUGGUUGGUGGAAAGCUUUUGUGGUUUUGGAUGGACUCGCGGCCUAUCAGCUUGUUGGUGGGGUAAUGGCCUACCAAGGCGACGACGGGUAGCCGGCCUGAGAGGGUGGACGGCCACACUGGGACUGAGACACGGCCCAGACUCCUACGGGAGGCAGCAGUGGGAAUAUUGCACAAUGGGCGCAAGCCUGAUGCAGCGACGCCGCGUGAGGGAUGAAGUCGUCGUUCGGUACGUAACCUUCUUACGAGGUAAGGAAG